RNAcentral lists this ribosomal RNA (111 nucleotides) under Acanthosepion pharaonis. Lineage: Eukaryota; Metazoa; Mollusca; Cephalopoda; Sepiida; Sepiidae. The record is from RNAcentral.
UACAGCCAUAUCAAGUUAAAACACUGGUUCUAAUACAAUCACUGAAGUGAAGCAAUGUUGAGCCUGGUCAGUACCUAGAUGGGUGACUGCUUGGCAAUACCAGGUGCUGUA